GAUGAACGCUGGCGGCAUGCCUAACACAUGCAAGUCGAUCGGUAAGGCUCUUCGGAGUACCCGAGAGGCGGACGGCUGAGUAACGCGUAGGAACACACCCUGCAGUGAGUGAUAAGACACCGAAAGGUGUUCUAAUACCGCAUACGGUCUUCGGAUUAAAGCAUUUAUGCGCUGAAGGAGUGGCCUGCGUCAUAUUAGAUAGUUGGUGAGGUAAUGGCUCACCAAGUCGAUGAUGUGUAGCUGGUCUGAGAGGAUGAUCAGCCAGACUGGAACUGAGACACGGUCCAGACUCCUACGGGAGGCAGCAGUGAGGAAUAUUGCACAAUGAGCGAAAGCUUGAUGGAGCAAUGCCGCGUGCAGGAUGAAGGCCCUCGGGUUGUAAACUGCUUUUAUAAGAGAAGAUUAUGACGGUAACUUAUGAAUAAGGGACGGCUAACUACGUG
RNAcentral lists this ribosomal RNA (443 nucleotides) under uncultured bacterium. RNAcentral describes it as "partial 16S ribosomal RNA". It matches the Rfam family "Bacterial small subunit ribosomal RNA", at positions 28 to 507 of the family's 1533-position model. The record is from RNAcentral.